RNAcentral lists this ribosomal RNA (118 nucleotides) under Pteropus alecto (black flying fox). The record is from RNAcentral. Lineage: Eukaryota; Metazoa; Chordata; Mammalia; Chiroptera; Pteropodidae.
GCCUACAGCCAUGCCACCCUGAACACUCCCAAUCUCAUCUGAUCUCGGAAGCUAAGCAGGGUCGGGCCUGGUUAGUACUUGGAUGGGAGACCACCUUGGAAGACAGGUGCUGUAGGCA